AGCGAACGCUGGCGGCAGGCUUAACACAUGCAAGUCGAGCGGGCAUCUUCGGAUGUCAGCGGCAGACGGGUGAGUAACACGUGGGAACGUACCCUUCGGUUCGGAACAACUCUGGGAAACUGGAGCUAAUACCGGAUACGCCCUUAUGGGGAAAGGUUUACUGCCGAAGGAUCGGCCCGCGUCUGAUUAGCUAGUUGGUGGGGUAACGGCCUACCAAGGCGACGAUCAGUAGCUGGUAUGAGAGGAUGAUCAGCCACACUGGGACUGAGACACGGCCCAGACUCCUACGGGAGGCAGCAGUGGGGAAUAUUGGACAAUGGGCGCAAGCCUGAUCCAGCCAUGCCGCGUGAGUGAUGAAGGCCUUAGGGUUGUAAAGCUCUUUUGUCCGGGACGAUAAUGACGGUACCGGAAGAAUAAGCCCCGGCUAACUUCGUG
Molecule: ribosomal RNA, 435 nt
Filed under: uncultured bacterium
Lineage: Bacteria
Description: partial 16S ribosomal RNA
Rfam family: Bacterial small subunit ribosomal RNA
Source: RNAcentral